UCACUUCACAUCUGAAUUGAUUAUUUUCUCUUCCUCUCCAUUAUGAUUUUAUUUCUUUUGUUUUAUUUGUGGUGGUGUUAAUGUUUGUGGGUUUUGGAUUUGCAGAUGGUGUUGCAGCUUACUGAUUUAGUUCAAAUUUGUAGAUGGUGUUUGAAGCCAUUGGUUGUAUAGUUGCAGGUUGGUCUGUGGCGGCUGAAUGUGUUGGGGUGGAGUUGCUAUUUUUUUUUUUUUUUUGAAUGUGAGCAUGUUGGGUUUGAUUUUGAAUUUUUUUAGGAAUGGAUUUCUCUCGGAUUUGAUUGGGUUCUCAAAUGCUGUAACAUACCAAUGAAACUAAGAUCCUCUCUGGAUGAUAUGGACUACCCCAAAGAAAAAAAACGAAAGAAAUCCAACGAAAGUCAUUUUUCCAAACGUCCCAUGAUGGUUGCGAAAAUCCAAGGGAAGUGAGGACUACUUUAAUCCUGCAGAUAUUUCUUUUGGUCUUUAUCAUAAGGGCAAAAGAGAAUUCCAGGAAAUAGACACGAUCAAAGAUGAGGUCAUGCUCAAGUUUAUUAAAGAAUCUGGCAAAUCAAUUUCGGAAUUUUACCAUAAGGUACGUAACAUGAAUCAUCUCACUAGAGCUUGUUGCGUUGAUUGUUCGGAAGAAAAGUAUUGUGAUGAUACAUUUGCAUUGAUUAUGCUCCGAGAUGGUUGUUUCAUUUCAUAUUUAUUGGAUAUUGUGGUAGAUCAGAAGUGGGAUAAGCUAUUAGAGCUAUUUGAUAAUCGUGGAAGAUAAUUGGGAUUUGGUUUUAUUGGAGAACCAAAUUCCAUUGGCAAUUUUGGAACGUUCGAGGAGCCUUAGAUACAAUAAUAAAAAAGUAGUACCAAAAACAAUCAAGCAAUUCAUUUAUUUUGUAUAUUUGGGCAUAUCGCUUCGAGUGUAGCUCUUUCACAUCAUCAGGAUUGGCAAUGAGUGCAUUCAGGAAACAGAAGUAGAUGAAAGAACAACUUUUGUAACAAAAUUGAUAUCCUUUGAAUGGAGUCCUGCAUGUAAUACAAAAGUUGUUUUUUCA
Molecule: long non-coding RNA, 1049 nt
Organism: Quercus lobata
Lineage: Eukaryota; Viridiplantae; Streptophyta; Magnoliopsida; Fagales; Fagaceae
Exons: 3
Source: RefSeq, a predicted model, not a curated record